Molecule: ribosomal RNA, 439 nt
Filed under: uncultured bacterium
Lineage: Bacteria
Description: partial 16S ribosomal RNA
Rfam family: Bacterial small subunit ribosomal RNA
Source: RNAcentral
CUACGGGGGGCUCCAGUGAGGAAUAUUGCACAAUGGGGGGAACCCUGAUGCAGCAACGCCGCGUGGAGGAUGACGCAUUUCGGUGUGUAAACUCCAUUUAUAUGUCAAGAAAAUGACGGUAGCAUAUGAAUAAGCACCGGCUAACUCCGUGCCAGCAGCCGCGGUAAUACGGAGGGUGCAAGCGUUACUCGGAAUCACUGGGCGUAAAGGACGCGUAGGCGGGCUUGUAAGUCAGGUGUGAAAUCCUACAGCUUAACUGUAGAACUGCACUUGAAACUACGAGCCUAGAGUAUGGGAGGGGGAGAUGGAAUUAGUGGUGUAGGGGUAAAAUCCGUAGAUAUCACUAGGAAUACCUAAAGCGAAGGCGAUCUCCUGGAACAUAACUGACGCUAAGGCGUGAAAGCGUGGGGAGCAAACAGGAUUAGAUACCCGCGUAGUC